This is a long non-coding RNA of Ostrea edulis (European flat oyster), 1181 nucleotides long. RefSeq lists it as uncharacterized. NCBI's taxonomy places the organism in Eukaryota, Metazoa, Mollusca, Bivalvia, Ostreida, Ostreidae. The transcript is spliced from 2 exons. The record is from RefSeq and is a predicted model, not a curated record.
UAUUUUGGAUGAUGUCAGCGAGAGGCAAAAAUCGGGAAUGUCCGAUUGUUUGGUGGUGACACUAUCAUCGUUGUCAUUCACGUUUGAGUAAAGGAUAUGUCAAUUUGAAAUCCAUCUUCCCGAUUAAUCACUAUCAAAACAUGCUUCACACUGUCCAAUAAGCACCCCGACACAGGCAGACCAGGGCCGGGAUUCAUAAACAGUCUUAGAAUGUACUUAAGUAUAAGAAAAUUCUUAAACCAAUAAAAAACUUAAGUAAUUGUAAGAUUUUGAGUUUUUCUGCUUAGUUUUAUUCAUAAAACAACUUAAGUGUAAGAAAAUUCUUAAACAGUUCUUAACUUUAAGUGUAGUCUUUAGCAGUCUUAAAUUGUUAAGAAAAACUUAAGUCAAGAAUCAUAAUGGCCGCCAAUAGAGCACACAGGCGAUGUUUUCGAGAAAGAAAGGACUAUUUAGCUCAGUACAGUGAUACACAACUUGUGGAAAGGUUUAGACUGGAUUCAGUCGGUAUUUAUUUCAUUGAAAGUUUGAUUGCACAUGAAAUUAUCAGUAGUUCAGAGAGAAAUCAUGCAGUAUCGCCACUUCAGAAAAUCUUGCUGACUCUACGAUUUGUUGCCACUGGAAAGAUGCAGCUGUGUAACGGAGACGACAUGGGUGUUUCCCAGUCCACCGUGUCUAGGGCUAUAACUGCAACCCUCCAAAGUCUGUCCUCCCAAAGAAUUGUUACACAAUUCAUUAAAUUCCCACAGAAUACUCCUGACAUUCGUAAAAACCAAGAGGAAUUUUUCUCUAUCGCUGGGUUUCCGGGAGUUGUUGGGACCAUUGACGGCACUCACAUUCAAAUAAUUGCCCCGAGUGAAUAUGAAAAUGAGUAUGUAAAUAGACACCAUUACCAUAGCAUCAACACACAGGUGGUCUUUGAUCCAUUCUACAAAAUCCUUGAUGUCGUAACAAAAUGGCCGGGUUCUACGCAUGACGCUAGGAUUCUGAACGAAAGCGGUCUCAAAGUACUGUUUGACCAAGGAAGGUUACCUGUCCAUACACACUUGCUAGGAGAUAGUGGGUAUCCUUCGAAGAGAUGGCUCUUGACUCCAUUUUUGCAUCCCAAUCAAGGUUGUCAGACAAAUCAUAACAGGUGAGAAUCAUUGUUUUUCGAUCCGCGUUCAUGGCUGUACUGAAAGUCC